RNAcentral lists this small RNA (465 nucleotides) under Pongo abelii (Sumatran orangutan). RNAcentral describes it as "retained intron". Lineage: Eukaryota; Metazoa; Chordata; Mammalia; Primates; Hominidae. The record is from RNAcentral.
CUACAAGAUCCAGGACAUCUAUGAGAUCCACAAGGAGUUCUACGACAACCUGUGCCCCAAGGUGCAACAGUGGGACAGCCAGGUCACCAUGGGCCACCUCUUCCAGAAGCUGGCCAGCCAGCUCGGUGUGUACAAAGCAUUUGUGGAUAACUAUAAAGUUGCUCUGGAGACAGCUGAGAAGUGCAGCCAGUCCAACAACCAGUUCCAGAAGAUCUCAGAGGUAGGCAGCUCCCCGCACAGCCACCCUGACAGACACGGAGCUUUGGGGCUGCUCAGAGCCGUUGGUCUCCCCUCCCUCGCUUGCCAGUCGGUGAAGUGGUUACUCUAAUGGGUAACAGUUAGCCUGAUAUUUGCUUUCUUGCACCUGACAUUUUCCCUCUUAAUAGAAAACGAUCUAUUUUAUUUAUUUAUUUUUAAUUCUCUUUCAUAUUAGAGAGAGGAACAGGGGAGGCAAAAAAAAAAAAA